Long non-coding RNA from Homo sapiens (human), 1966 nucleotides. Lineage: Eukaryota; Metazoa; Chordata; Mammalia; Primates; Hominidae. The record is from Ensembl.
GUCACAGCCGGGACUGAGAGAACUGCUGCAUCUGUGGAAACUUCUAUUCUCGUGGGGCAGAGAUUGCACUGUGAAACCCUACCGACACUACCCCGGAAGGGCCUGGCCUCCGAGGUGUCUGCAGCGUGCUGCCUUCGCCGGGGCUUUUCAGAAUGGGCCGGGGCCUCGGGGGUCUUCAUCCCCAAGGAAGCCUCUUGAUUUUUGGCACCGCCUUUGUUUUUGGGCCGGAAGCCGUUGUGCGGCUGUCUUCUGUGUUCGUGGCGGCUGUUGCCCUUUCCCAGUGGCUCGGCUUCAUUCCCACUGCCCUGCGACUUGGCAGGCCCAUUUAGCCUGUUGUUAUGAUACUGUGGAUUAAAUCUCCGUCUUUGGUUAGAAGAUCCAUUCUACCAAAAAAGAAAAGAGAUAAGUAUCAGAUGCCAGCAAGCCACUGAUGACACCAGUAGACAUCAGGAAAACCAAAUCUCUAAGCCACAGUUAUAAGCAAAGAAAAUUUGAAGCCUCUAUUAAAAAAUCAUUCCUUCAACACAUCACUGACCAGGAACGUAAAUGGAUGAGCAGUAAGGACGCAAUGGAUUAAGCUCCUUUACAAGGGAAAGAUUUCUGAACUCCUCAAGCUCUUAUUGUGGGCCUUUAUUCUGCAAAGAAGGCUGCAGUGCCAGCGGAGCUGACUGCCAGUGCCAAGUGUGUGACUGACAUAACGUAUGGAGGUAAUUGCAGCAAAGCACAUCAUCUGAUCUUGAGAACCCAGCAGCCAUUCAGAGGAGCUCCAACCUACAUCCUCGUGCCAUUCCCCACCUCCCGCCACUGUCAGUGGCUUUGAGCAGCUCCAAUCCAUCUACACCCUCUGGCAAUGGCAGCCUCUUAACAGAAGAGCUCAGUCUGUGCCCUUUGACAAGUUUCUUCACCACCACAAGGCUGCACGUUCCUCUGGUAGCCACACACCUUCUUCGAUCAGGGAUUACUGCAGCUGCUACUGAGAAUACUAGAGUACUGCAUGGUGCAAAGCAGGAUAUGACCGGUUACUCAGCAAAGGACCUCAUUUGGUAUUGUGAAGCCUACCUGAGACCACCUGUAUUUGAUGAUUAUGUAAACAUACUACUUUUCUGAAGAACCACAGGUGGUCAACGUAAGUAACCCAAGUUUCUGUUUUUAGAAGCAAUUUAAAAUAUGCUUUAUUUAAUAGCAAAAAGAGUACUAAAAUGAGAUGACAUUUCCAUUAACCUACAUUUCAUUUUUCAAGAAGACUUGAGAUUUUGCAAAACAUCGUAAAUGGGAAAUGAAGUCUCUAAAGAACUUAACAAUUCAAGCAGGCGUGUCCAUUCAUUCAUUAUUCAUUCAUUUAUCUAACUCUAUCUGGGGGUCAACUAUGUAUCAAACCCAAGAAUAGUAAUAGUAAGACCCAUUCUCUGCCUCCAAGAAGCACAGUCUCACAUGGGGAGACAGAGCCACAACUAACAAUUACACUCCGUGGAAUAACAGCUGCAGUGGAGAAUGCAGAGAAGCCCACAGAAGUACAAGGUGAAUGACAGAGGAAGGGCGAAUCAUUCAGGCAGGGUAGGAGAAAGAAGAGAGUUGAGUCCCUGAGGAGGACAUCCCAGACAGAGGAAACAGCCUUUGCAAAGGAGGCAGACACAUUCAAGGUCAGGGUGGCGAAUGAGAGAUGCGUGGAGAUGCGGCAGUGGAUAAGGGUGUAAAAGGUGGACGGGGUCCACUCAUGCAGGGGAUGUAUGUUAUGCCGAAGAGACCAGACUCUGAUUGCAACCAUAUUUUCAAUUUAAAUCCUUAUCGUUAUAAUCCAACAAGGUAGAGAUAUUUUAAAAUGAAACAGUUAAAAUGAUUGUCAAUUUUAAGUUUCAGUUGUCUUGAAUAUUAAACCUGAAAUCAUUAGCUACCUGCUUCUUUGGACUAAAAGCUGCAUGAAGGCAGGAAUCAUUUCCUCACCAAAGCACCUACUCGAAUUCAUCCA